RNAcentral lists this ribosomal RNA (440 nucleotides) under uncultured bacterium. RNAcentral's name for it is "bacterial SSU rRNA". It matches the Rfam family "Bacterial small subunit ribosomal RNA", at positions 338 to 795 of the family's 1533-position model. The record is from RNAcentral.
CCUACGGGAGGCUGCAGUGGGGAAUAUUGGACAAUGGGGGCAACCCUGAUCCAGCCAUGCCGCGUGAGUGAUGAAGGCCUUCGGGUUGUAAAGCUCUUUUGGCGGGGACGAUGAUGACGGUACCCGCAGAAUAAGCCCCGGCUAACUUCGUGCCAGCAGCCGCGGUAAGACGUAGGGUGCGAGCGUUAAUCGGAAUUGCUGGGCGUAAAGCGUGCGCAGGCGGAUUGUUAAGCAAGAUGUGAAAUCCCCGGGCUUAACCUGGGAAUGGCAUUUUGAACUGGCAGUCUAGAGUGCGUCAGAGGGGGGUGGAAUUCCACGUGUAGCAGUGAAAUGCGUAGAGAUGUGGAGGAACACCAAUGGCGAAGGCAGCCCCCUGGGAUGACACUGACGCUCAUGUACGAAAGCGUGGGUAGCAAACAGGAUUAGAUACCCGAGUAGUC